GCUUGUCUCAAAGAUUAAGCCAUGCAUGUCUAAGUCUAAAUAUUUUUACACUGUGAAACUGCGAAUGGCUCAUUAUAUCAGUUAUAGUUUAUUUGAUGGUCCUUGCUACUUGGAUAACCGUAGUAAUUCUAGAGCUAAUACAUGCAUCAAAACCCGACUUCUGGAAGGGUUGUACUUAUUAGAUCAAAACCUAACAAGGGAAACCUUGGAUUUUGGUGAUUCAUAAUAAUUUGCGGAUCGAUUUAUCGAUGCAUCAUUCAAGUUUCUGCCCUAUCAGCUUUGGAUGGUAGGGUAUUGGCCUACCAUGGCUUUAACGGGUAACGGAGAAUUAGGGUUCGAUUCCGGAGAGGGAGCCUGAGAAAUGGCUACCACAUCCAAGGAAGGCAGCAGG
Molecule: ribosomal RNA, 391 nt
Filed under: uncultured Chrysophyceae
Lineage: Eukaryota; Chrysophyceae
Description: partial small subunit ribosomal RNA
Rfam family: Eukaryotic small subunit ribosomal RNA
Source: RNAcentral